Pezoporus flaviventris is the source of this 951-nucleotide long non-coding RNA. RefSeq lists it as uncharacterized. The record is from RefSeq and is a predicted model, not a curated record. NCBI's taxonomy places the organism in Eukaryota, Metazoa, Chordata, Aves, Psittaciformes, Psittacidae. The transcript is spliced from 3 exons.
UGGGAGGAGGGUGCCUCUGUGCUAGAGCUGGAGCAGUGCCUGGGACCAGCUGAGGCCCGUACUUGCUGCGGGGAGGACCCCUGUAUCCCGUUUCCAGCACCAUGAAGUGUAGAACUGCAUUCCAGUGGUGAUGGCCUCAAAGGAAAAGGAUGUGGUGGCUUCCUCUAAGAUGGAAUUAAUGUAAUGAGAGGAAAAACAAUGCACAAAAUGAACUCGGGACAUUGCACACUCAUGUCAGGAGCAGUGCUCUCCGGCUGUGGGGUUAUUCCAGAGCACAAGUCAUCAAACUGCCCGGUCUUUCUCAUGCAAGCUCUUGGCCUGCACUGGCCCUCUGGGGCAGUCCCAUGCAACCACUACUCGGGAAGAGAAGCAGCUCUGCUGCUGCAGCAGCUGCAGCCUGGCAGGCACAGGAGUGUUUUGCCAGUACCACGAGGCAUCCCAGGCAGGGUGAGCUUUGGCUUUGAGUACUGACUCCUGCCAAGCAGGGCUGCAUCUCCCUGCAGCCAGGGAAGAGCUUUGUGCCUCCCUGGGAACGCGCCUGUGCCAGGGCUGCCGGUCAGGAAGGAUUCCAUCUAUUUCUUGGUCUUGGAGCUGAGCAAAAUCUCGACCCAGAACCCAGUAGACAACAAGGCAUUCUGAUGGCGCUUGAUGCUUAAGAUAAAUGCUGGGAUCUUCCUAGCACCAGGAGCUGCUGCUUCAGAGCUCCAGGGCUUUGCCUUAGAUACAGACUUUGUGUGCUUGUGUAUGUAUAUAUGGCACCAUGUAAAUGUCAGGAGACGCGCUGGGAAUCAUAGCUGCUAAAGCCUGUGAUAGAGAUGGAGCAGGAGUCCUUAAGUAUCGCAAUCACACAAGGCUGUAUCGUUUGAACUGUCUGGUGCUCUAUCACUUUAACAAGCCUUACGAGCCAAACAUCUUGCUUGUAUUUGGACAGGGAUUUGUCCUAAGCACAGA